AAAAAUUUAGUUAAAAUAUAACAUUAGUUUGUCAAACUAAAAUUAUUAUAAAAUAAUAAUUUUUU
Molecule: transfer RNA, 65 nt
Filed under: Trichodes sp.
Lineage: Eukaryota; Metazoa; Arthropoda; Insecta; Coleoptera; Cleridae
Description: tRNA-Asp
Source: RNAcentral